UGCGAGAAGCACCUUCGGGUGCGAGUAGAGCGGCGGACGGGUGAGUAACGCGUAGGAAUCUACCUAGUAGAAGGGGAUAGCCCGGGGAAACUCGGAUUAAUACCGUAUACCUCCUUUGGGAGAAAGAGGGCUUAGCUUUGAUGCUCUCGCUAUUAGAUGAGCCUGCCUAAGAUUAGCUUGUUGGUGAGGUAAAGGCUCACCAAGGCGACGAUCUUUAGCUGGUCUGAGAGGACGAUCAGCCACAUUGGGACUGAGACACGGCCCAGACUCCUACGGGAGGCAGCAGUGGGGAAUAUUGGACAAUGGGCGCAAGCCUGAUCCAGCCAUACCGCGUGUGUGAAGAAGGCUUUCGGGUUGUAAAGCACUUUAAGUAAGGAGGAAAAGAUUGUAGUUAAUACCUGCAAUCCGUGACGUUACUUACAGAAUAAGGACCGGCUAAUUCCGUGCC
Molecule: ribosomal RNA, 448 nt
Filed under: uncultured Pseudomonadota bacterium
Lineage: Bacteria; Pseudomonadati; Pseudomonadota
Description: bacterial SSU rRNA
Rfam family: Bacterial small subunit ribosomal RNA
Source: RNAcentral